This 479-nucleotide ribosomal RNA is filed under the name uncultured bacterium. Its description in RNAcentral is "bacterial SSU rRNA". It matches the Rfam family "Bacterial small subunit ribosomal RNA", at positions 96 to 562 of the family's 1533-position model. The record is from RNAcentral.
CGGCGGACGGGUGAGUAACACGUGGGCAACCUGCCUGUAAGACUGGGAUAACUUCGGGAAACCGGAGCUAAUACCGGAUAAAAACUUUCUUCACAUGAAGGAAGGAUAAAAGACGGUUUUGCUGUCGCUUACAGAUGGGCCCGCGGCGCAUUAGCUAGUUGGUGGGGUAAUGGCUCACCAAGGCAACGAUGCGUAGCCGACCUGAGAGGGUGAUCGGCCACACUGGGACUGAGACACGGCCCAGACUCCUACGGGAGGCAGCAGUAGGGAAUCUUCCGCAAUGGACGAAAGUCUGACGGAGCAACGCCGCGUGAACGAUGAAGGUCUUCGGAUCGUAAAGUUCUGUUAUCAGGGAAGAACAAGUAUCGGAGUAACUGCCGGUACCUUGACGGUACCUGACCAGAAAGCCACGGCUAACUACGUGCCAGCAGCCGCGGUAAUACGUAGGUGGCAAGCGUUGUUCGGAAUUAUUGGGCGUA